Molecule: long non-coding RNA, 16402 nt
Filed under: Selaginella moellendorffii
Lineage: Eukaryota; Viridiplantae; Streptophyta; Lycopodiopsida; Selaginellales; Selaginellaceae
Description: long non-coding RNA (SMOE_LNC000155)
Source: RNAcentral
CAAGAUAAGUACUGCUGCCUGAAGGAUGGUUUGGGAUCAUGUGUUCAGGAGUGCGACUCCAAGAUCAAAUACUACUGCUGCCUCAAGACUGGACUCGGCGGCUGCAAGCAACUCUGCGAGACCAAUGUCGAAUACUUCUGCUGCCUCAAGAACCCUUUUGGUACCUGCUUUCAGCUGUGCGACUCGUCCAAGGAACACUACUGCUGCAAGAAGAACGUUUCUGGUUCCUGCGUUGGAAUGUGCCCCAAAACGGUGAACCUGAUGAAGUGAUCUGCGUUUGAUGACAAGUGUAAGCAACAUCUAAAAGCUUAUAAUUGCUGAUACUCUCUACAACUUUUAUAUUUUUACAAGAUUUUCGCUAUACUUUUACUUUUUUCAACUGAGUUUGUAAGGUAGCUUGCCAUGCCACUGCUGCUGGAUCGUCCAUUGGGAGACAAGUAGCUUUGAACAAGUCCUCAUUCUAGUUCACGUCGCUCAGCACCAGGUCGCCAUCGCUGGUAAAGCUGAGGUACGCUCCUUCCGGGACGGUUUUCGCGUAGCUCGCCAUGUCAGCGCUGCUAGAUAGUAGAGAUUGAAACUCUCCUUGUCGUCCAUGGCGUAGAAGACUGACAAGUAGAACUGGAACUCUUGGGAGGUUUGCUCCCAGCAGCUAAGUAGGAGGCAGGAAGGGGUGCUAAAGCCAAGGCUAAUUCGAAAUAUCUGGAGUGGAUUCGAGAGUGGAGCUUGGAGGAAGAUGGCGCUUCCAGUGACAUUGGAAGCUUUGUGUGGUCGACCAACACAGGAGGAUCUGGAGCGCAAGUCUUGGCCCUCGAGAGCUCUGGAAAUCUCGUCAUCCGGAGCAAAAUUGGAGAUUUCCUGUGGCAGAGCUUUGAUCAUCCCUGUGAUGCUGUGCUCCCUGGGAUGAAGUUAGUAGCCAGCAUCUCUAAGGAGAACAAAGAGCCAGGGUACUUCUCACUCGAGGUAGCCGCUUCUCGGUCGCUUUGAACUCCAGUAUGUUGAGAAUCUUUUGGAGAGGUCUGGAGCUCCGAUGAGGAAGAAGAAGAGAUAUCAUUUCUCUUCCUCGUCAAUAGCAGCUUGGAAAUCCACGGGACGAAAGGUGUUAUGUGGUCCACUCCAACGAUCGGUGGUGUUACUGAUCAAUCAGGGCACCAGUUCCUCAAGAUCUACUCGAAUGGAGAGCCCCGGUUUACCUCGAGAUCAUUCAGCACCGGCAACAGCACGAAGAGCAUCAACUUAAACCCGCUCUUCUUUGGGAAAAGCUCGCUUACUCGAACCUGUGGGAUCUCGUUCGAGACAGCUGAAGGAUACCUCUGCAUCGUUCACGAAGUACGUUUCUUCCGGGGACAAGGAGGGAUGCAAGCACCUGGAAGAACCUGCGAGAACUCGCAACAUCACUACAUGCUCGAAGCCACAGUACGAUACUUCUACAAACCUCUAGAUUUAUCCAGUGCGCUCCACAACGUCACUCCAGCAGCGUGCAUGGCCCUGUGUAUCAAAAACUGUUCCUGCAAAGGGGUGCUAAGCCAGGAGAAACAACUACCUGUUUCCAGAUGACCGAAGUUUUUUCUCUGAACAAAACUCGCAACGUCGUCGAUGAAGCUUUGCUGUUUUCGAUCAAGUUGUACCAAGCUGGAGAUCUUCCAAAGCUCUCAACACCAGGCAACUCACAAAGUCGCCAAGUAGCAAAAACAGGCAAAGCCAGCCAUCGUCGCGGUUUUCUCUGUGGCGACCAUGGCUAUAAUCAUCAUCGCAAUGGUGACCUGGAAGAAACAGAUAAACUCGUACCUCAAACACUACAAACCAUCGUUGGUGCGCGUCUUUAAUUACCCGGAGCUCCUCACUGCAACCAAAGCCUUCAGUGCGAAAAUCGCAAGUGGAGGCGUUGGCACGGUUUUCGAAGGGAUACUCUCCGUUGCCGUGAAACGGCUGGAGAGCUUCUCGAGCCAAGGAUACAAACAGUUCAAGGCGGAGGUGAGAGCGAUCGGAAUCAUCCAUCACAAGAACCUUGUAAGACUCAAAGGCUUUUUUUCCCAGGAAUCACACUACUUCCUGGUUUACGAGUACGUAGCAAACGGGUACAAGCCGCGGGAAGACACGAGAUUCAAGAUAGUCGAGGAGAUUGCUCGAGGGAUGUGCUACCUCCACGAGGAAUGCAGCACUAGAGUUCUGCACUUGGACAUCAAGCCGCAAAACCUACUCCUGGACGAAAACUUUGGUGUCAAGAUAGCAGAGUUUGGACUGUCGAGGAUGGUAGAGCAAGGAGAUCUAAGCGAUGUCAUGACAAUGAUCUGAGGAACACCCGGAUACAUGGCUCCGGAAUGGUUGCAGAUGCGAGUGAGAGACAAACUGGACAUCUACAGCUUUGGGAUCCUUGUGCUGGAAGUGGCGCUUUCCAUACCUGUGUGUCUUGCGGGAGGAGCCCAAAGUUCCUGGCGGUUUGAGAAGCUUCGGUCUGGGAAGUUAAUGGAGAUGUUAGAAGAGAAGAGGGCGCGGCAAGAAAUGGAGGCUACCUCUAAGGCCGAGAAGCUGCUUCGCAUUGGAGUGUGGUGCAUCCAACCGGAUUCUCAGCCAAAUUGUGGGAAUCCACUGACACUCAUAGAUUUUGUAUGAGAGGCACCAUUCUAUCGAGAUUUAGUGGCACCAAAGCAGCGCCCGCCCUGCAAGUGCCCUAAGAUUCUUCGAGGAUAUUAUUUAUUAUUUAGAUCCAGGCUUAGUUUGUUAUAUUUUUGUUUAGUUAAGUAAAAAUAAAAUAGUUUAAUUUUUAUUUAUUUAUAAAUUAUUUAUUUUUUAAACGUAAAACCUUUGACAAGCGUUUGAGAGGAAUGCCCAAAUUUUUAUUUCUUUUUAAUUUCUAUAAUAUUUCUAAAACAUUGUUACUCUUUAAAUGUCAUUUAUGAAAAUCCAAAUUCUAUAUCAACCAGUUUUAAACAUAGAAUCAUGGGUUUUCUUUUAGACUUAUUAAAGACGUAGGAAGAAAAGAUAAUUAUUACUCAGGAUUUUCACUUUCUAAAGUAGUGUUUUCAAAAAAUGGUAAAUGACAAUAUCAUUAUUAAAUGCACAACCAAAUAGUAGAUAAAAUAUUUAGGCUUUGAUUUACAAGUAGAAUCUGGCUGAUUUUGUUAGGGAUGAUUUUGUAAAAUAUUAUAUCAAUGGACGGUUUAGCAUAUCGUAUCAGCUUGAUUCAGAUUAUAUUUUUCCAGAUAAAAUAAAACUUGCUUAUUUCACCCUACAAAACCAUAUAAAAACGAUUGCAAUAUUAUAAGGUAUGCGACCACACCAUUCUGUCUUUUCUACUUUCUGCAAUCUUUAAAUGGUUUAUUCAUGCUUUACAUGCAACUGGACUGCAAUCUACAAAGAGUAUAAUUGUUUGGAGCACUCACACAAAUAGCUUUCUAAGGUUGCAAAAAGAUGGAAAUAUGGUAAUCUAUGGUGAAAAUUACACGGUUGUUUGUUCAGACAGCAUUUACUGGAAAGACAAAUGGAUUACUAGUGCAUUAUGUGUUGAUAACUCUGGACUUGUUGUAGUAUACAACACUGUAGAGCAAACUUGUAUAUGGCAAUCACCAAGAUGAGAAUUUAAAAUCUAGCAUUCACUCUACACAAAUAUGAGAUAGAAGGACAUAAGUUGAUGCUCCAGAAGCUCUUGCGAUGGCGCUUGGAGCAGCCAUGUUUCCAAGCCGAUUAUUGCCAUGAGUUUUACAAGCUCCAAGCAGCGUCAUGUAGGCAAUGGAGCCCGGCUCGAUUGGCAUGCUAUCGAUCACCUCUUGGGCCUCGUCAAGCCGGCCAGUUCGCCCAAACAAAUCGAUCACACACAUGAAAUGCUCCAGGUUUGGAGCUAUGUGAUGAUCGAGCACAAGAGACUGGAAACUAUACUUACCACUCUCAAAGAGCCCGGCAUGGCUACACGCAGAGAGAACACUGACAAACGUGACUUCGUCCGGAUCAAGCCCCUCGAGCUUCAUCCUCCAGAAGAGAUCAAAAGUUUCCUCAAAAUGCCCGUUGUUCGCAUACACCGAGAUGAUUCCAUUCCAUGAAACCACGUCCUGCCUUGUCGUUGCCUCAAACGCCACCUUUGCCCCUCGAAGGUAUCCACACCUCCCAUAAAAGUUGACCACGGCAUUGUUUGUCAUCACAUCGGAUUGAAACCUAGAGUGAUGGAGCUCACCAUGCACAAGCUUUCCCUUUUGGAGAGCGGUGAUCCUCCCAAGGGCGUCAAGAACAGCCAAGAAACUCACCUUGUCCGCCUGGGUGCCUUCCAGAUCCAUUUGGUGGAAGAGCCGAGCAGCACUCUCGCAUUCCCCGGCUUGGACGAAGAUACAAAUCAAGGUGUUCCACGAGACCGUGCUUGGCUCCUCCAUUUUCUCAAAGAUUUCCUUCGCUUUGUGGAUAUGCCCGGCUUGGGCAUGCGCCACCAUAGCUGUGUUGUGCGAGAAGCUGUCCCAGCAGGGCAUCCUUUUCGUGAGAAUCUCCAGAGCCUCGUCCACUCUCCCGUGCUGGAUAUAAGCCGCCGCGAGCGUGUUAAACGAGACCACGUCUGGAGAAGGAAUGGUUUCCUCGAGGAAACUCGCGGCCUUGGCGAGAUGCCCGUUUUGGGCAUAUGAUCUUAGCAAAGAGUUCCACGAGACAGUGGAUGGGUGCUCGAUGCGAUCAAACACUGCCUUGGAUUCCUCCACUCCCUUGCAUUUUCCAUAGCUCGCCACCAGUGAAGUCGCCACGGCGAGAUCGGAGAUCCAGCCAGUGUGAUCCGCCGCUGCGUGAACUUGGCGGCAGUGGGAGAGGCUCGAGAGGCCCGAGCACGCAUCGAGAGCUGCGAGGAACGUCGCGCGGUCGGGUGUUGUGUCGAUCUGCCAGAACAGCGCGAGUGAUUCCUCGCAGUGACCGAGCUGGGCAUAGGCCGCGAUGAUCGAGCUCCACGAACUCGUGUCUCGCUGCUCCAUCCGAUCGAAUACCCGCCUCGCGCUGGCGAGGUGGCCUCUCUGGAGAUACGCGGUGAUCAGCGCGUUGCAUGCCGCGAUAGUGAUCUCUGCCGAGAUCUCGAGCAAGAACAGUGCUUGAUCGAAGUGUCCCUGCUGGGCUUGAGCUCUAGCGACGAUGCUCCACGAGGAAAGAUCUCUCCGGGGCAUUGUCUUGAAAAGGAGCAUCGCUUCGUCGAGGCAUCCAUUGUGAGCAUACGUCGCGAUCAUGGCGUUCCAGAGCUCUCUCCGCCGCUUCUUCUGCUCGAAGACGAGCUCGGCCCUCUCCACUGCACCGGAUCUCCCGAACAUCUUGAUCAAGGAGCAUGAUACUCCGUGAUCGCUACGCAAGGAUCCGCAGGCUUGGCUCAAGUGGAAGAUCCUCUCGCAUCGAUCAGGAUCGCCAAGGCUGCCGCAGGCGUCGAUGGCGAUGAUGUACGUGAGUUUGUUCUUGAGGACGUCCAUUGAAUCGAAAAGGUCUAGAGCUUCUAGCAGAUGCCCAAGAAGGGCAAGUGCUGUGAUCAUCGCGUUCCAGAGAGUGGCGUCCUUGUGGCUUGUUUGAUGAAAUAUCUCAAGCAACAAAACCAUGUCACCUUUCGAAGCAUAAGCUAUGAGAAGUGAUGUUCUUGAACGAAGAUCGUGGGCUGGGAGUCUUUCAUACAAAUCUAUGGACUCCAAAAAAUGCCCUUUUAGGGCAAAUGCUGAGAGUAGAGCGUUCCAGACAGCCAAAUCUCUUUGUUUCAUGCAAUCAAAGAGAUCCUUUGCAUCCUGGAGCCGUUCAUGGCGAGAUGUGGCAUCAAUUAUCGUCGUCCAGGAGAUCACAUCAACGCAAGGCAUUCGGUCGAAGAACUCUCGCGCUUUGCAAAGAUUCCCUGAUUGGGCAUACGCGGAAAGCAUGGCGUUCCAGCAUAUCGCAUUCCUGCCAAUGAUCCGAUCAAAGAAAUGCUCCGCGCUCUCGGCCUCGCCAAUCUUUCCAUAAACCACAACGAGCGCCGUCCCGACAGCGAUCUGGGUGUGAAUUCCCAGCUGGAUUGCUUCCAUGGCAAUCGCCCUUGCCAGAUCUCUAUCCAGCUCUUCGAUCCCGGCAAUGGCAUCGAGAACGCUCACGAAGCUGAUGGAAUCCGGUGCCACGCCCUGGAGAUCCAAGCCCCGGAAAAAUCCCAGCGCCUCUCUGCAAUGCCCAUUCUGGGCAUACGCCGCGAUGAUCGUGUUCCAGGACACAAGAUCUCUCUCCGGCAUGGAAUCGAAGAGCUCCUGCGACCGCGAGAGAUUCCCAGCGCCGGCGUACCCGCUAAUCAGCGCAUUCCAGGAGACCACAUCGCGAUGAGCCAUUCGCGUGAAAACGUCCCUGGCUCUGGCAAGAUCCUCUGUCUGGGCAAAUGCUCGAAGCAAGAUCGUCCACGAGUAGACGUUGUGGCGGGCUGCGCCGCUGUGGAAGACGUUCUCGGCAUCGCGCAGGCUGCCGCAGACGCUGUACAUGUGAAUGACAAGAUUCGCGACGAAUGUGUUGCGAUCCAGGCCUGCCCUGGCGAUCUGCGAGUGGAGAAUCCGCGCCUCCGUGGGAGAUCGGCAUUUUCGGAGUAGUGCCGCCGCAGCAUCUACGCGCAUAGAACCAUAAUGCGUUUUAGGGUUCUAGAAUAUUUUCUUGGGCUGUGCUAUGUUUCUUCGAAUGCUGUCCUUUGUCAGUUUAAAAACUUAGAUUGCUAACCCAUUUAUGAUCAAUUUUUUGUUCUCGGGAGAUAGAUUCAGUUUUGAUCUGAUGUUCGAAUUGAAGAACUGUCCAAGCACUGAGCUGAACCAUCACACUUUCAUUCACACUAGACAUCCAGAAUUGUCACAUGGUUCACAGUUGAAUCAGGUAGCUGAGGUUGACACACAUUGUGCAAGCACAAUUUCUCAAUCUUGAGUAUGAAUUUGGCGUUUGGACAAGGAUUUCUCCCUUUCCUUGAAUCCUUCUACUUUGAUUUUUUCACUAGCACUUGGGCACCACUAAUUUUCAGGAAGUCUCAAGAGAGAAAUUCAUUGUUUCCAUUUAGAUUCUUCUUCCAGCUUGGUUUUCUACUCAACACCAAAUGCUUAGUGUGGAUACCUCGGAGGGGCAAGGUUGGCUUUUGAGGCAACGACAGGGCAGGACGUGGUUUCAUGGAAUGGAAUCAUUGCGAACAACGGUCAUUUUGAUUAAACUUUUGAUCUCUUCUGGAGGAUGAAGCACGAGGGGCUUGAUCCGGACGAAGUUACGAUUGUCAGUUCUCUGUGCAUGUAGCCACGCCCGGCUCUUCGAGAGUGGUAAGCAUAGUUUCCAUUUGCAGGUUAUUGGAUUUAAGUGCUUAGGGUGUUCUCUAAAAUAAACCAUGUGAACUGUGAAUUGGCCGGCUUGACGAGGUCCAAGAGGUGAUCAAUAGCAUGCCAAUCGAGCCGGGCUCCAUUGCCUACAGGAGCUUGUAAAACUCAUGGCAAUAAUCGGCUUGGAAACAUGGCUGGUCCAAGCGCCAUCGCAGAGCUUAUGGAGCAUCAACUUAUGUCCUUCUAUCUCAUAUUUGUGUAGAGUGAAUACUAGAUUUUAAAUUCUCAUAUUGGUGAUUGCCAUAUACAAGUUUGCUCUACAGUGUUGCAUACUAUAACAUGUCCAGAGUUAUCAACACAUAAUGCACUAGUAAUACAUUUGUCUUUCCGGUAAAUGCUGUACGACCAGACAACCAUGUAAUUUUCAUCAUAGAUUACCAUAUUUCCAUCUUUUUGCAACCUUAGAAAGCAUCCAUUGCCUUUGUUAUUUGUGUGAGUACUCCAAACAAUUACACUCUUUGUAUGUAAAACUAGAUUGCAGUCCAGUUGCAUGUCAAGCAUGAAUAAACCAUUUAGAGAUUUCAGAAAGUUCCCAUUUGAUAAUGUGGAAAAGACAGAAUGGUGUGGUCCAUUUCUUGCAUACCUUAUAAAAUCGUUUUUAUGUGGUUGUAAGUAAGCUUUACUUUAUAUGUGGAAAAAUAUAAUCUGAAUCAAGCUGAUAUGAUAUGGUAAAUCGUCCAUUGAUAUAUUCUGCCAAUUCAAAUUUUACAAAAUCAUCCAUAACAAAACCAACCAUCAUAUCAAAUCAGGAAAGGUAUUCCAUCUACUAUUUGGUUGUGCAUUUAAAAAUGAUAUUGUCAUAUUUAAGGAUUUAAAUUUUUUCAAAAACACUGAGUAAUAAUUAUCUUUUCUUCCUACUUCUUUAAUAAGAUCUUUAAGAAAAACCAUGAUUCUAAAGUGGUUUUCAUAAUUGGCAUUUAAAGAACAACAAUGUUUUAGUAAUAAUAUUUAUGUAUUAUAGAUAUUAAAAAGAAAAAAUUAGGCAAAUAUUCCGUUUUAAACUUUUUGGUUUGCUUAAGCUGGUACUGGAUAUACCUAGAAUAUUCUAGAAUAUUCUACCAUUUAACGGUUGUUAUUCAUGUAUUUGUAAUUUAUAAACAUGUUUAUAAUUUAUUAAAUUUCUUUAAAACUUUCUAAUAUAUUCUUUUUAUUUUACCAUCUAAUGAUUGAUAUGCAAUACUUAAUCUUGUAUUUAUAAAUUAUAAACAUGUUUAUAAUUAUAAAUUUUUAUUUGGUCAAUUGGAUUAAUAAGUACUAUUAAGAAAAUCAAGCAUUGCUACAUGCAACACGUAGCAAAUUAUUUAUUUUACUUAACUAAACUAAAAUAAAUAAAUUAAGCUAGACUAAACUAAACUUUAUUAACUUCUUAAAAUUCUCAUUGCUCAAAGAAUUUUAGGGCACUCUUGAGUCAUUGCAGGGUGCCGCCUUGGAUCCGGCUGGAUGCACCACACUCCAAUGCAAAGUAGCUUCUUGGCCUUAGAGGUAGCCUCCAUUUCCUGCCGCACCUUCUUCCUCUUCUAACAUCUCCAUUAACUUCCCAGAUCGAAGCUUCUCAUGCCGCCAGGAACUUUGGGCUCCUCCCGCAAGACACACAGGUAUGGAAAGCUUGUAGUCCGGUAGCCACUUCCAGCACAAGGCAAAGCUGUAGACGUCCAGUUUGUCACUCACUUUCAUCUGCAACCAUUCCGGAGCCUCAUUGGCAUGACAUCGCUUAGAUCUCCUUGCUCUACCAUCCUCCACCUCGACAGUCCAACGUCUGCUAUCUUGACACCAAAGUUCUCAGCCAGGAGUGUGUUUUGGGGAUUGAUAGCCAAGUGGAGGACUCUAGUGCUGCAUUCCUCAUGGAGGAAGCAAAUUCCACGAGCAAUCUCUCGACUAUCCUGAAUCUCGUGUCCCAGUUGUGCUCUUCUCGCGACUUGUAGAUCUACUUGUCUAGGGAUCCGUACUUGUAAACCAGGAAGUGGUGUGAUUCCUGGGCAUUGGGAUUUUUCGGCGCUGGGAUUUUUCCGGGGCUUGGAUCUCGAGGGCGUGGCACCGGAUUCCAUCAGCUUCGUGAGCGUUCUCGAUGCCAUUGCCGGGAUCGAGGAGCUGGAUAGAGAUCUGGCAAGGGCGAUUGCCAUGGAAGCAAUCCAGCUGGGAAUUCACACCCAGAUCGCUGUCGGGACGGCGCUCGUUGUGGUUUAUGGAAAGAUUGGCGAGGCCGAGAGCGCGGAGCAUUUCUUUGAUCGGAUCAUUGGCAGGAAUGCGAUAUGCUGGAACACCAUGCUGUCCGCGUAUGCCCAAUCAGGGAAUCUUUGCAAAGCGCGAGAGUUCUUCGACCGAAUGCCUUACGUUGAUGUGAUCUCCUGGACGACGAUAAUUGAUGCCACAUCUCGCCAUGAACGGCCUCAGGAGGCAAAGGAUCUCUUUGAUUGCAUGAAACAAAGAGAUUUGGCUGUCUGGAACGCUCUACUUUCAGCAUUUGCCAAAAAGGGGCAUGUUUUGGAGUCUAUAGAUUUGUAUGAAAGACUCCCAGCCCACGAUCUUCGUUCAAGAACAUCACUGCUCAUAGCUUAUGCUUCGAAAGGUGACAUGGUUUCGUUGCUUGAGAUAUUUCAUGAUAACAUUUGAUAAUGAUGACUAAUACGCUCAUAAGCAUUUGUGAAAACUUUAAACCGUCUUUACAACCUUGAUUAUCAGAUUGACAUCUCAUUAGUCGAUGGCAUCUUUCAUAUUGUCUCUCUUGUGCAUAAGGAGGAAAAACUUAAACCAAUCAUAGGUUAUAUUCGAGCCGUUCAUUAGCUAUCUAAUUAUAAAAUUAUAGUCUCUAGCAUAUCCGUUAACAACAUUUACUAAUUAAAAUUUAACGUUACUAAUUUAGAGUUAGUCGUUAAACAUUUAAUGUGGGCGUGACUAAACGCGCCAGAGGAAGUGAGGAGUGAAGAGAGGGGAGGAAGUGAGGAGUGAGCAUGGCAAAGGGGCAACCACGUAAGAGAGGAGGGUGCUGUAUUAUGCAUUUCUCCCGAGAUCUUUCCUCGUGGAGCAUCGUCGCUAGAGCUCAAGCCCAGCAGGGACACUUCGAUCAAGCACUGUUCUUGCUCGAGAUCUCGCCAGAGAUCUCUAUCGCGGCAUGCAACGCGCUCCGCGUACCUCCAGAGAGGCCACCUCGCCAGCGCGAGGCGGGUAUUCGAUCGGAUGGAGCAGCGAGACACGAGUUCGUGGAGCUCGAUCAUCGCGGCCUAUGCCCAGCUCGGUCACUGCGAGGAAUCACUUGCGCUGUUCUGGCAGAUCGACACAACACCCGGCCGCGCGACGUUCCUCGCAGCUCUCGAUGCGUGCUCGGGCCUCUCGAGCCUCUCCCACUGCCGCCAAGUUCACGCAGCGGCGGAUCACACUGGCUGGAUCUCCGAUCUCGCCGUGGCGACUUCACUGGUGGCGAGCUAUGGAAAAUGCAAGGGAGUGGAGGAAUCCAAGGCAGUGUUUGAUCGCAUCGAGCACCCAUCCACUGUCUCGUGGAACUCUUUGCUAAGAUCAUAUGCCCAAAACGGGCAUCUCGCCAAGGCCGCGAGUUUCCUCGAGGAAACCAUUCCUUCUCCAGACGUGGUCUCGUUUAACACGCUCGCGGCGGCUUAUAUCCAGCACGGGAGAGUGAACGAGGCUCUGGAGAUUCUCACGAAAAGGAUGCCCUGCUGGGACAGCUUCUCGCACAACACAGCUAUGGUGGCGCAUGCCCAAGCCGGGCAUAUCCACAAAGUGAAGGAAGUCUUUGAGAAAAUGGAGGAGCCAAGCACGGUCUCGUGGAACACCUUGAUUUGUAUCUUCGUCCAAGCCGGGGAAUGCGAGAGUGCUGCUCGGCUCUUUCACCAAAUGGAUCUGGAAGGCACCCAAGCGGACAAGGUGAGUUUCUUGGCUGUUCUUGACGCCCUUGGGAGGAUCACCGCUCUCCAAAAGGGAAAGCUUGUGCAUGGUGAGCUCCAUCACUCUAGGUUUCAAUCCGACGUGAUGACAAACAAUGCCGUCGUCAACUUUUAUGGGAGGUGUGGAUGCCUUCGAGGGGCAAAGGUGGCGUUUGAGGCAACGACAAGGCAGGACGUGGUUUCAUGGAAUGGAAUCAUCUCGGUGUAUGCGAACAAUGGUCAUUUUGAGGAGACUUUUGAUCUCUUCUGGAGGAUGAAGGAUUUCUUGUUCAAGCUCCCUAAGAAUACUUUAACUCUGGUCAUGCAAUCUUGGGUCGUGGGCCGAAUGGGAUCGCGGCAACAUUGAUGGUUCAUGCUGGAUGGAUAACACUAACAAGUUUCAUUCAGCGUAGAUUUCCAUCAGCCUAGUAGUGACAUUCCCUUCAUUUCUGAAUAGUAGCUAAUUAGCUUAAGCAUGGACGUCCCACGCGAUGCAUGCAGGCAUUGCCCAGCAGCAGCGCAUAUAAACCGAUGCAAGCUUGAAAUUGUAGCUCUCAAGUUUCAGUUCAAGAAAAAUGGCGAAAUUGCUUGUUCUUUCCUCCCUCCUCUUCGGCCUGCUGCUCUUGGCGGCCGAUGCAUCUCAGCGUACGUGCGAACUUCUGCAUUGCAAUUUCAAGAUUCUUGCUCUCUAAUCUGUGGAAUCCAUGUGUAGCGGUUGACAAGGAGAGCACCAGUGAGAAUUACAAUGUCAUUGUCGAGGGACCUCGUGAAGGCAGCGAGGCUGGCCCUGGUCUCAACAACGUUGUCACCCAGGAGCCCCCUGGAAGCACGGUAUGAUCAGGAGCUUUUGAUUAUGCGCCACUGUUUCUCCGUUUGUUAAUGCUGUAGGCCUCCAAGAUACAUACUGCUGCCUGAAGGAUGGUUUCGGAUCAUGUCUUCAGGAGUGCGACUCGGGCGUCAAGUACUACUGCUGCCUCAAGAAUGGAGUCGGCAGCUGCCUGCAACUCUGCGACCCCAAAGUCAAUUACUUCUGCUGCCUCAAGAAUGCAUUUCGCAGCUGUUUGCAGCUGUGCGACUUGUCCAAGAAACACUACUGCUGCAAGACGAACGUUUCUGGUUCCUGCGUUGGACUGUGCCCCAAAACGGUGAAUCUGAUGUGAUUUUGCUUGAUGAACAUGUGUGAAUGCAUUCAAAGAAUAAAUUGCUUCUGUGACAACCUUUCACUUUAACAAAACACCAUUUGCCAUCAGUGUAAAACAAUAUAAUCAUCUUCUGGGCUUGGCGCCACCAUUGCCUUUGCUCGCAGGCUUGCCACCUUUGCCUCUGUUCGCAGGCUUGCCACGUUUGCCUUUGCUCGCACCUUUGCCACCCGUCUUACCACCUUUUCCACCGCCUUUGCCAGGCUUGCCACUUCCUCGGGAUCGUGAGUCCUUCUUCAUGCGACGAUCCACCACAAGCUUCCCUUUGCCACCCUUGACCCUCACGCCCUUCUUCGCCACAACGAGCUCCCGCUUGGGACGCUUAUUGGUCGUCGCCGCCGCUUUCUUGUAAACCUUGUCCAUCAUCCUGUUCUUGGACUUGUUCGAGAUGUCCGGCUGAUCGGCAAUCGCCGCCGCUCUGCUUCGUGCUUGCUCCAUUUUCUUCAUCACCCUCCGCUUCUUGCGAGCCUUGGCCUCAGCAACCUUCUUCACGGGCCUGGCGUCUAUCGCUCUAAACUGCGCCCUCAUCGCCUGGACCUCUUCCUUGGUGAAUGGCUUCUGAAUCUUGCAGUGCCGCUUCUCGUCGUCCGCGAACCAUUCCGGGAGCCCCUCGUCGUCGAACAUGUACUUGUUGUAGGCGUCGUCGAUGAUCCUGUCUCUGUCCUUCUUCCGCAGCAUCUUCUUGGCGUAAGUGAGGAUCUCUGCCUUGGCGUCGCUGUCGUAGUCCUCCUCUUCGUCCGAGGAAGAGUCGGACGAACCACUCGGCUCGGCUGCUACAACCUCAAAGUCUUCCCGUGCUCUCUUGAGCUUUCCUGGCGCAACCGUGACAUCGCUCGGAGGAGCGUCCUUGGCAGUCUUGUCCUUGUUGGUAUCCGUCUCCGGGGUUUGAUCUAAACCGGCGAAGAUGUCUUGACUGAACCAUUGCUGUGCAAUCUGUUCCUUCGAGAGCUUGGCCUUGGGAAGCGACACGACCAGAGGAUUGGCCUCCUCCUCCUCCUCUUCUUCUACUUCGUUUUCUUCUUCCUCAGAAGCAUUCUCUUCCACGUCCUCCUAAGGAUAUUGUCAGCUGCUUGCAAGUUCUAGCACUUUCAUUUGGCUUACCUCCCACAGCUUUUCGUCUCCUGCGUUAGCCAUUCUUGCGCGUUUCCGCCGUGCAGUGUUGCUUUCAGUCUUGCUCCGGUAGCGUUCGUAUGCACGAUCGAGGAAAGAUUCCAGCUCGUCGUUGUAUCUGCGAGAGAUUACGUUAACACUUCAAGGCGUAGUUCUUACCUUUCGCGCUCGACGUCAGAAUCCACAUCAUUGUCUUCGUCAUCCUUCCGCUCCAUGUCCUGCUUACUCGUUUCAUCCUUCACAUUGUCAUCGCUGUCCAACAUGUCGUCAUCCGCAUCUUCCACCCGAUCCAAGCUUUUCUUCGCCUGGAAAAGUGUCCAACAUGAGCUCCUAGGCACAGACGAGAAAGCGGACAAACAAACCUUGAUUGAGCCCAAAGAGAACAGAUCCCGCUCGCCAUAAGUGUCUCCCAAGACAUCGACUUGCAUCCCUGUUCUAUUUCGUGCGUUUAGCUGCAGUGUUGUGGCCCAUCAACAUACACAACAACAAAAGAUAGACAAACAAUAUGUACCUUCUGUUUACGCUUGGCAGCCUUCUUCUUCGCCUGCUUGCUUUUCGAAUCCAUUAGAGACUUGAGCUCCUCCAUUUUCUUUAGCAUAUCCUCGUCUUCAUCUUCUUUUUCGUCGUCAUCCUUUUCAGCAGCCUUAUCACCCUCUGUUUCCUCCGAAGCUGACGUUUUCGAAAGAGCUUUUCGUACAUGCAGGCACCACCUGAGAGAACCAAAUGAGCAUGAAAGACAACAGCCACGAGAAGUAGAACCUACUUCAAAAGUUGCUUGAAUUCUUUCUUCCCCAGAACUCUAAGGUCUUCGCAUAAUGCUUUUAUCUACAAGAAAAAAAGUCCUCCAAAUCAAAACAAGCAAACGAGGAUUAGAUAUGAACGUACCUCGUCAGUUGUUUCAGCGUGGUCUUUGAUUGGCGAACUUUUCGGAUCCUCAAACGAAAUAGACGUGAUGCUACCAAGAAGCUCUAGAGGUUUUUCGGACCAGACGAAGUCUGCUGCCGUGCAGUCUUUACGAAAAGUAGUGUUUGCGUCAUCGUAUCUGCAGAAAAUAAAAAACAUAAAACCAAGAGUCUAUUUGACGUGAGAACCCACCCCUCGCGGUGACGUUUCUGUUUACUACUACGAAGAACGUCGAUCACCUACACAAUUUACUCGGCUUUAGCGCAAGCACCUUGUUUACAAUAACAAAACCCACCUUUGGGGGCUGAGGAAUCUCUUCAAAUAAAAAGCGAGGGUCCAAGUUACGCGGAUCGAUUUUCACGGGUGCCAGAUACUUGAGACCAACCACGUAUAUUUCAGCUGAUGUCGAACGACUUGCUAUGGGUUUCGUGACUUCCACCUUGGCAAACAGCUACCAAACGAUACAAGAGGCAAUGAAAUAUCACUCAAAAAACCAUGACAAACAUACCUGUUCAAAUGCAUACUUCAGCGCGUUAUAAUCUUGGGAUCGAAAAACCUGCAAGAAAAACCAAUUUUGGGAAUCAGAGAAGAAGGAAAAAUUCAAAAAUGGAGGAAGAAGAAGAAUUCUUCGUACCUUGGUGACAAACGUUCCUUUGGGAGCCAGAAACUUGGUAGCCAACUUCAAAGAAUCCAGGACAAGAGACGACUGCGUCAUGGCUUCUUUGGCCCAGGCACCUCCCACAUUGGGGGAGCCAUCGUGGAGCACAACAUCGACCAUCCUCAACCCGUUCUGGUCGAGAAUCUUCCCAAUAUCCGACGCGCAUUUUGGAGUGGUGAUAUCGCCCUGGAGCGACAGCGCCCCUCUCACGGGACGAAUCGGCACCAGAUCCACGCCGAUUACCACAGACCUCACGGGCAUCUUCUCCACGGCCACCUGCAUCCAUCCCCCGGGCGCCGCGCACAAAUCCAGCACCGAGUGCGCCGAGCUGAGGAAGCCAUACUUGCGAUCGAGCUGCACGAGCUUGAAUGCGGCACGGGAGCGGUAGCCCUGCUCCUUGGCGAGGUAGUAGAAGCGAUCCAAGCGGUGCUUCCCCUUCUUCGCCUUCCCCAUCCCUGCAAGACCUUCGAGGAACCCUAAAACCCCACUUUAGGUUUACAAGAAAUAUUCUGGUGGAUAUUCGAGCGCUUUUAAAAUGAGUCAGUCGACAUUGGAUACAAGCAAAUCACAUUCAUAAAGUCUUCCCUUCUUGGGUGAUAUGCUAGUUAUUUAUCUUAAGCAUGCAUCGCGUGGGGAUGGGGACGCCCACGCGAUGCAUGCAGGCAUUCCUCCUUUAUAAACAGAUGCAAAACCUUGUAUUGUCAAGCAUAAUAUUUCUGAUUUCAGUUCAAGGAGAAUGGCCAAAGUUCUUCUUUCCGCCCUCCUCUUUGGCCUGCUGCUCUUCGUAGUGGAUGCAUCUCGCAACACUCAGCGUACGUGCAAACACUUCCGCAUUCUUGCAAAUUGUUUCUCUAACCUGUAGAAUGGCUCUAGUGACUGGCAGGGAGAGCGAUGUGACUUACGUCAUCGAUGGGCCUCGUGAAGGUAACCAGGCUGCUGAUCUCAAUGUUAUCAUCCAGAACACCCCGAAACACGGUAACUUAAAUCACGUUAUGAUCUUCCUUGUUGUGAUCAUGAGCUGUCCUUGUGACAUUGAUUAUGCCACUGCUUUUCCGCUUUUGAUGCUUGCAGGCCUCCAAGAUACAUACUGCUGCCUGAGGAACGGCUUUGGAUGUGUUCAGGAGUGCGACUCCAACAUCAAAUACUACUGCUGCCUGAAGAAUGGAUUCGGAUGCCAACAGUUCUGCGAGGAAAACGUUAAUUAUUUCUGCUGCCUCAAGAAUGGAUUUGGCAGCUGCCAGCAGCUCUGCGACUCGUCCAAGGAACACUACUGCUGCAAAAAGAACGGCUUUGGGAGCUGCACUGGAAUGUGCCCCAAAACCGUGGACCUGAUGAAGUGAUCUGCGUUUGAUGAAAAGUGUA